Molecule: long non-coding RNA, 596 nt
Organism: Panthera uncia (snow leopard)
Lineage: Eukaryota; Metazoa; Chordata; Mammalia; Carnivora; Felidae
Exons: 3
Source: RefSeq, a predicted model, not a curated record
UUCCUCCCCAAGGUUGGAGCCCUGGCAGCGCCCUCCCUGAGGGGUGCCUCUGUGGGUCCCCUGUGCACCUCCUUUGCACACUCACUUGCAAAGAGGGGGGUAGCCCUGCCUCUUCCCUGGUCUCCAAAUGGGACCAAAUCUUUCUCCCGUAGGUGCAGCCCAUGUGUCAGCUAGGGCCACUAGUCCAUGUCAUCUAGGGAAACUACUCCUCCCUUUGGAAGAUGGAACCAGAAGAGGAAACCGCCCUACACCUGUAGCUGACCUUUGCAAUAGGAAGCUUCAACUCUAAACCUAGGCCUGUGGGAGCUGCCCCAGUUCCAGGCACACAAGGCAAAUGGCUGCAUCCUUGCUGCCACAGGCCUCCUCAAAAUGCAUCUUCCAGGAACCGAGAAUCCACCCUGCUCCACAAGGAAACAUGUGAGCGUCAGCCAGACACCUUCUCCUCCAUCAUCUCCCACAGUCCUUCCAUGUCUAAUUCCUGAAACCCAGAUGUCUGCUUCAGGAGCCCAAAAUAAAGUCUCAACUGUUUCACGGUCAAACCCACAUCUGUCUGGGAUUAGCAGAACAGCUACUUUGCACCCCCACACCACCCCCCA